Molecule: small nuclear RNA, 103 nt
Filed under: Sinocyclocheilus anshuiensis
Lineage: Eukaryota; Metazoa; Chordata; Actinopteri; Cypriniformes; Cyprinidae
Source: RNAcentral
UCGCCAUGGCGGCACAUAUACUAAAAUUGGAUCGAUACAGAGAAGAUUAGCAUGGCCCCUGCGAAAGGAUGAAACGCAAAUCCGUCAAGCGCUCCAUCUUUAA